AUUGAACGCUGGCGGCAUGCCUUACACAUGCAAGUCGAACGGUAACAGGUUAAGCUGACGAGUGGCGAACGGGUGAGUAAUGUAUCGGAACGUGCCCAGUCGUGGGGGAUAACUGCUCGAAAGAGCAGCUAAUACCGCAUACGACCUGAGGGGGAAAGCGGGGGAUCGCAAGACCUCGCGCGAUUGGAGCGGCCGAUAUCAGAUUAGGUAGUUUGUGAGGUAAAGGCUCACCAAGACGACGAUCUGUAGCUGGUCUGAGAGGGCGACCAGCCACACUGGGACUGAGACACGGCCCAGACUCCUACGGGAGGCAGCAGUGGGGAAUUUUGGACAAUGGGCGCAAGCCUGAUCCAGCCAUGCCGCGUGCGGGAAGAAGGCGUUCGGGUUGUAAACCGCUUUUGUCAGGGAAGAAAAGGUUCUGGCUAAUACCUGGGACUCAUGACGGUACCUGAAGAAUAAGCACCGGCUAACUACGUG
Molecule: ribosomal RNA, 477 nt
Filed under: uncultured bacterium
Lineage: Bacteria
Description: partial 16S ribosomal RNA
Rfam family: Bacterial small subunit ribosomal RNA
Source: RNAcentral